This 66-nucleotide small RNA is filed under the name Salmonella enterica. Its description in RNAcentral is "partial RtT sRNA". It matches the Rfam family "RtT RNA", at positions 1 to 66 of the family's 130-position model. From Rfam's summary of the family: This family represents a bacterial cis-regulatory element known as RtT RNA. The exact function of RtT is unknown although it is thought that it may be involved in changing the cellular response in relation to amino acid starvation. Lineage: Bacteria; Pseudomonadati; Pseudomonadota; Gammaproteobacteria; Enterobacterales; Enterobacteriaceae. RNAcentral also lists the same sequence under 1 other name. The record is from RNAcentral.
AUAUCUCUCCGUACGGGAAGGAUGAGAAGCUUCGACCAAGGUUCGAUUCGAGCGCAGCGAGAAAGC